Long non-coding RNA from Brienomyrus brachyistius, 1037 nucleotides. RefSeq lists it as uncharacterized. NCBI's taxonomy places the organism in Eukaryota, Metazoa, Chordata, Actinopteri, Osteoglossiformes, Mormyridae. The transcript has 2 exons. The record is from RefSeq and is a predicted model, not a curated record.
CGGCACUUACCGAGCGCUGUGCACAACAAGCUCCCUCCGCAACAGAUGAUAAGACCCGCAAAAGCGCUGCCUUUCCUAGCGACACGAUGCCAUAACGCACAUCCAGCCCGGAGUCCUCGGCUCACAACUUAAUCGGCCUGUUGUAGGUUAGUUUCUUCCUGGAAGCCUGAAACUGAGAGGCGGACAAUGCAUUGCUCAUUGAUUUGGGUAUUGAAGUGCCGAAAUGACGCGGAUUCCCAGCACCGGAGCGCUGCCCUCUUAAAGGGGAACUCAACCCAGGAAAUUGCCGAUCAUGUUUCAGGCGUAUAUUGAGGAAAUGAGGAACUGGACGAGGAACCCGGAUAAAAUGUGUACAAGGAAGAUGACCGUCACAUCAAAUAGAAUCUGCAUUUUAUUCCGCUAGAAUAUGCAGUCAAUUUUGCAUUCAUAUACGCAAUCAAAAAUCUAAAUUAAUGUAAUAUCUAGGUGGGAUUGUUGACCAGUGGUUCAGUAAUGCAUUUCUUUACAGCAAAUGUUUUCCGCAGUGCAUAACUGACGUAACUAAACUUAAAGUGAACUAAUAGUGUUCUCGUUUUUUAAUUGGUUUGAUAUGUUAUUUUUGGGUCUUCCUUUGCGUAUUGUACUAGCAAUGUAUAUAUAUGAGGAGGCAAAGGUGUGACAUAAUUUUUUAAAGCUCUCAUGACGCAACUUUGCCUUUAACUCGGGCAAUGUCUGGUAAUCAUGUUCCUUUUCAGGCAUAAAUAUAAACAUAUGUUAGAAAACCGGAUGCACAUAUAUAAGUACAUACAUAUAUAAUAUAUGUGUCGAUUGCAAUUUUAGAUUAAGUUUAGAUUUUUAGAUAAACAAAAAUAUAUGGGAAAAGGAAUUUAGAAACGGAACAGGCUGAAUGUUUUUCAGCAGUUAUACCUUGAGGCGACGUCUCAAAUUACUAUUUCAGAUAAUUGCUUUGAUCAUGAUGUUACAGUGCAGGAUGAUGCACAUGCAAUAACAGGUACUAUUAGAAUUCAAAUUAUAUAUUUAGCUUUUAUGUCCAUUAA